GCUGAAGACUUUACCAGACACGCUGAGAGGUGGUGCAUGGCCGUCGCCAGCUCGUGCCGUGAGAUGUCCUGUUAAGUCAGGUAACGAGCGAGACCCCUGCNNNNNGUUGCUACNNUUACUCUCUGGAGCAGUGGAGCGAAUUAGACGGACCGCCACAGUUAAUGUGGAGGAAGGAAGGGGCCACGGCAGGUCAGUAUGCCCCGAAACCCUAGGGCUACACGCGGGCUGCAAUGGUAUUGACAAUGUGUUCCGAAUCCGAAAGGAGGAGGCAAUCAUCAAACAAUAUCUCAGUUAUGACUGAGGGCUGUAACUCGCCCUCACGAAUA
Molecule: ribosomal RNA, 326 nt
Filed under: uncultured archaeon
Lineage: Archaea
Description: partial 16S ribosomal RNA
Rfam family: Archaeal small subunit ribosomal RNA
Source: RNAcentral